ACGAAGGGUGCAAGCGUUAUUCGGAGUUACUGGGCGUAAAGAGCGCGUAGGCGGUUUUUUAAGUCAUUUGUUAAAUCUCCCGGCUUAACCGGGAAUCAGCGAGUGAAACUGGAAGACUAGAGUGUAAGAGAGAGAAGUGGAAUUCUCGGAGUAGCGGUAAAAUGCGUAGAUCUCGAGAGGAACACCGGAGGCGAAGGCGGCUUCUUGGCUUACAACUGACGCUCAAGUGCGAAAGCGUGGGGAGCAAACAGGA
This 253-nucleotide ribosomal RNA is filed under the name uncultured prokaryote. RNAcentral describes it as "partial 16S ribosomal RNA". It matches the Rfam family "Bacterial small subunit ribosomal RNA", at positions 525 to 777 of the family's 1533-position model. The record is from RNAcentral.